ACGGAUGGUACCGGCGGUGGACGGCGAAGCGGCGCGGUGACCCAGAGCGGGGCGACGGAGCUUCGACGCGGCCGCGGUUCUCGCAGCGAAAGAGCUACCCGUGGUGGUUCCAUCGAGGUGCCUGUGCCUCGCAGCGCCACUCCCGCCCGCUGCCGGGCCGCCUCUGCGGCCUCUAGGAGUUCCGACGCGUCCUGCGCACCCGUUUUCAACUCCUGUUCAUGCGGCACCGGUGGUAGCCGCAGCGGCCCGAGCAGCGCGAGACCUGUCGUCACCCCCGCGAGUUCAGGUAACUGUUCGAAGGAUAGAACGGACCACACAACCUCGAGCAACCUUAGCCCAUGUGUCCUACCAAGUGUAUAGCGUUGGAGUAGAAAGUCGGUCUGUCCCUUCGAGACUAGUCGUUGUAGUUCUCGUGAAUAUUGCUUUAGUGACCCUCGUCGUCGAUUAAUACGUCGUAAACGUUCUACUGCAGUCAUGCGUCUCCCAUUGAUGUAGUCACCCGUUGGUAAGUUUUUAGUUGAUCACUGUAGAGUGUACCUACAAUGGCAUGAAAAGAUAAGAAAAACAGAAAACCGAAUUCACUUUCGUUUUGAAACGAUCACUCGACCAUUGAAACAGGCUUAAAGAUUAGAUAUUGAUACUAUAUAAGGUCAAGUAAAGGUCUGUUCCCGUGUGACAGUUCCAGCUGCACCCCAAAGUCUAUUGUGAUAACAACUGAGACAUAAAAUUGGUUAACGUCAGUAUACUAGUUGACUAUAGUUUAGUGUAAUUACUUGGAUCUUUACUUACUUGUGCACUUUCAAAGAAUGUCACGUAUAUUUGCAGAAAAACCGAGAUACGAU
This 842-nucleotide ribosomal RNA is filed under the name Triticum aestivum (bread wheat). RNAcentral describes it as "partial small subunit ribosomal RNA". Lineage: Eukaryota; Viridiplantae; Streptophyta; Magnoliopsida; Poales; Poaceae. The record is from RNAcentral.